GGCGAGUGGCGAACGGGUGAGUAAUACAUCGGAACGUGUCCUGGAGUGGGGGAUAGCCCGGCGAAAGCCGGAUUAAUACCGCAUACGCUCUGUGGAGGAAAGCGGGGGAUCUUUCGGGACCUCGCGCUCAAGGGGCGGCCGAUGGCAGAUUAGGUAGUUGGUGGGGUAAAGGCCUACCAAGCCGACGAUCUGUAGCUGGUCUGAGAGGACGACCAGCCACACUGGGACUGAGACACGGCCCAGACUCCUACGGGAGGCAGCAGUGGGGAAUUUUGGACAAUGGGCGCAAGCCUGAUCCAGCAAUGCCGCGUGUGUGAAGAAGGCCUUCGGGUUGUAAAGCACUUUUGUCCGGAAAGAAAACCUCUGGGUUAAUACCCUGGGGGGAUGACGGUACCGGAAGAAUAAGCACCGGCUAACUACGUGCCAGCAGCCGCGGUAAUACGUAGGGUGCGAGCGUUAAUCGGAAUUACUGGGCGUAAAGCGUGCGCAGGCGGUGAUGUAAGACCGAUGUGAAAUCCCCGGGCUUAACCUGGGAACUGCAUUGGUGACUGCAUCGCUCGAGUAUGGCAGAGGGGGGUAGAAUUCCACGUGUAGCAGUGAAAUGCGUAGAGAUGUGGAGGAAUACCGAUGGCG
RNAcentral lists this ribosomal RNA (633 nucleotides) under Burkholderia sp. Mf240. RNAcentral describes it as "bacterial SSU rRNA". It matches the Rfam family "Bacterial small subunit ribosomal RNA", at positions 90 to 717 of the family's 1533-position model. The record is from RNAcentral. Lineage: Bacteria; Pseudomonadati; Pseudomonadota; Betaproteobacteria; Burkholderiales; Burkholderiaceae.